RNAcentral lists this ribosomal RNA (467 nucleotides) under uncultured bacterium. RNAcentral describes it as "partial 16S ribosomal RNA". It matches the Rfam family "Bacterial small subunit ribosomal RNA", at positions 28 to 506 of the family's 1533-position model. The record is from RNAcentral.
GACGAACGCUGGCGGCGUGCUUAACACAUGCAAGUCGAACGGAAAGGCCCAGCUUUUGUGGGGUGCUCGAGUGGCGAACGGGUGAGUAACACGUGAGUAACCUGCCCUUGACUUUGGGAUAACUUCAGGAAACUGGGGCUAAUACCGGAUAGGAGCUCCUGCUGCAUGGUGGGGGGGGGAAAGUUUCGGCGGUUGGGGGUGGACUCGCGGCUUAUCAGCUUGUUGGUGGGAUAGUGGCAUACCAAGGCUGUGACGGGUGGCCGGCCUGAGAGGGUGACCGGCCACUUUGGCUGUGAGAUACGGCCCACACUCCCACGGGAGGGAGCAGUGGGAAAUAUUGCACAAUGGGCGGACGCCUGCUGCAGCCACGCCGCGUGCGGGAUGACGGCCUUCGUGUUGUACACCGCUUUCUCCUGUCACGACGCGUGAGUGACGGUACUGGGUAAAGAAGCACCGCCUAACUACGU